Molecule: ribosomal RNA, 497 nt
Filed under: uncultured bacterium
Lineage: Bacteria
Description: partial 16S ribosomal RNA
Rfam family: Bacterial small subunit ribosomal RNA
Source: RNAcentral
GAUGAACGCUGGCGGCGUGCCUAAUACAUGCAAGUCGAGCGAACGGACGAGAAGCUUGCUUCUCUGAUGUUAGCGGCGGACGGGUGAGUAACACGUGGAUAACCUACCUAUAAGACUGGGAGAACUUCGGGAAACCGUAGCUAAUACCGGAUAAUAUUUUGAACCGCAUGGUUCAAAAGUGAAAGACGGUCUUGCUGUCACUUAUAGAUGGAGCCGCGCUGCAUUAGCUAGUUGGUAAGGUAACGGCUUACCAAGGCAACGAUGCAUAGCCGACCUGAGAGGGUGAUCGGCCACACUGGAACUGAGACACGGUCCAGACUCCUACGGGAGGCAGCAGUAGGGAAUCUUCCGCAAUGGGCGAAAGCCUGACGGAGCAACGCCGCGUGAGUGAUGAAGGUCUUCGGAUCGUAAAGCUCUGUUAUUAGGGAAGAACAUAUGUGUAAGUAACUGUGCACAUCUUGACGGUACCUAAUCAGAAAGCCACGGCUAACUACGUG